RNAcentral lists this non-coding RNA (8784 nucleotides) under Cordylochernes scorpioides. The record is from RNAcentral. Lineage: Eukaryota; Metazoa; Arthropoda; Arachnida; Pseudoscorpiones; Chernetidae.
CAUCCAGGAUUUUGUUCAAUUUUUCCAAAACCGAAAUUUAUAGAUCAUUCAUUGAUUUAAAUCUGAUACUUCUGCUCAAGGAAUUUCAAAAUAUACAUUGUUUUAUAAACAAAAGAAAAUUCGCUGAGGAAAGAGUUUAUUUUAUAUAUAUCGCUACUGUAGCGUAGUUAUACCUGUCGAAGGGCUGUUGAGUCCAAAAGUUUGUAUUGCCAUUAUAUAUAUAAAAGAAACUCUUCCCUCAGCAAAUUUUAUUUUAUUUAUAACUAGACGCCGACCCGGGCUUCGCCCCGGGAUUGACCCGUGUGCAUAUCUACCCGAGUGAUAUAUAUUUAGAUACGAUUUUUUUUUUAAAUAAUCGUUUUUACUCGAGGGAAUGUUUGUAGUCUAGUAUGUUGAUAUAAUAAAUCUAUCUGAAUAUUAGGAAAGGUAAGGUAAUUUUUUUGUAGGGUGAUGCUCUGAAAAAGAACGCUAUACCACUUUAUCACUAAACAAAUUGGCGAGUCAAAAAUAAGUAACCUAAACAAUCCAUUAGCUUUGCAAGAUAAGAAAAGAAAUAGAGAAAUGCAUGCAAAAUUCUCAACACAAAUCAAAAGCUUUAAUCCUCAUUAGUAAUGUAUAUUAGGUAGGAUGAGGUUUAUUUUGUUUCUAUUACAUUACAUGGAAUAGAUUUUUGUUUUUCUAAUAAAAUUUACUGACCUCUUUGUUCACUGAAACCUAAACAAAGUGUAUGUUAGACCACUCUUUGUUCAACCUUACACAUUGUUUAGGUCUCUUAUUAGGUGCAAGAUGUAUACUAAUGCUAAAAUGGUAAUUUGGGUAAACAUAGGUAAAUUCAUGUUGGGCCAGUAUUGUUCAGCAAGCCAACACAGAUAUAACAUUACGGUAUGAAGCAAGUUGUGCUAAAACUAAUAUUUCCAAUCAAAAUAUCAAAAAAAUAACACAUACUAUGUAAUAUAAAUACAUGUAUGUAAAAUAAACACAAUAAUAACCAAUAAUUAAAAACCAUAAAUUUUUCUAACACAGUAUACUUCUUAAGUAAGAAUACCUUACCAUGAAGGUUUAAAACCCUACAUAUUGAAACAUGUGAAAAAUGUAGCAUGUGUGUAUGAUGGGCUUGAAAAGAAAAUAUUAAAAAAAGAUAUUUAUUGACACUUUUGUAAUACCACACCAAAUAUGCAUAUUUACAGUUACAACAGUUGCAGAUCUUAUUAGCGCUUUAAAAGGGACAAUCAUAUAUGAGCAAAGCAUCUAUGUACAUUAGAGGACAUUAGAAACAUAGUGAAAAAAAUAUAAAAGGUAAUGAAUACAUUUUUUGCUAAUUGAGGAAAGAAAUACCUUAAGAAAGAGCUUCUUGAUAAACACACAAUAUUUUUUGUGCUGCCAUUAGGUGCGAGAAUAAAAAGAUUAUUGGAGCAACUAACGCGUGAGCAGGCAACAUAAAGCUGGCCAUGGGAAAAACAUGGAACCUGAAGAUCAAUUCCAGCCCAUUUCAAUGUUUGACCUUGUGCUUUGUUAAUUGUCAUUGCAAAGCACAACUUAACAGGAAAUUGAAGUCUUUUAAAAUGAAAGGGCAAAUCUGAAGAUAUAAUGGGAAUCCUAGGAAUCAUAACCUUCUCACCAGUGCCGCAUCCAGUCAAAAUAGUCGCCUCCAGCAGAUAUCUGUGUAAGAUGUUAACUUGCAACCGAAUACCAUUACACAAUUUUGGGGGAUUAAGAUUUCUUAACAAUAUAAUUGGGGCGCCAACCUUUAGGGUAAGACUGUGCACAGGCAUUCCAGGCGGAUUGAUUUUAAAAAUUCAAUGGGGUAAUGCACAGAAUCAUUCGGAUCUACAACAGUGUCUAUUGACAAAUAAGUUCUUGAAGAAGCGAUAAAUUUACCGAGGAUAUAUUCAUUUAUAUUGUCCACGGCAUCAUUUCUUGGUGCUAAUAAAGCCCUUUCACUGAACCAAGAAAGUGGCAUGGUAAGUAAAGAGCCUAUAUUGGGGUAAACAGAUGAUAUUAAGGUAUGGAUAUCUUCAACCAAGACACAAAGAUCACUUGAUGCAAUGGAGAUGAGUCCCUCGUGAGUUGAAAAUGUCCCAUUGCCCAGUUGAAGCAACAGCUGAGAGAAGCUGCUUCCUCUGUCGCCAAAGAGAUGUGACCGCAUAUUGAUAGUGAGAGAUAACUUAACAAUACUACUCCAAAUAUGAGAGCGUUUAAGGCAUGCAUUAACCUCAUCUGCUCGAGUGCCUUUGGGAAUAACCGGUAAAGUUUGUCGGAAGUCCCCAACAAAAAGAAAUGUCACCCCUCCCAUUAUGCUGUUGUUAUCCCUAAGAUCUUUCAGAGUGCGAUCAAGGGCCUCGAUUGAGCGUCUAUGAGCCAUUGUGCAUUCAUCCCAUAUAAAUAAUGAGCUUUGCUGUAGAAUUUUGGAAGUGGCGCUCUGUUUAGCAAUGUUACAGACUGCUAAUUCAUCAUCAUAGAGAUUCAAAGGUAGCUUAAAUAGAGAAUGUGCUGUUCUGCCGCCAUCAAGGAGUGUAGCAGCGAUUCCAGAAGAAGCAGCAGCACAAACUACUAAACCCUCUAAGCGCAAUUUGGCUAACAAAAGAUUAAUAAUAAAAGUUUUUCCAGUGCCACCAGGAGCAUCCAAAAAAAAAAAUCGUGCCAGCCCUAGAGCGAACACUAUUAAGAAUGGCCUCAUAACAAUAUUUCUGAUCAGGAUUUAAAGAAAAUUCGCGGGUUGAAGCCAAAGUUUCUAGCUCACGCCUAUCAUAUAUGUCUGAUAAAAAUGAUGCCUCUCUGGGUGGUGAUACAUUUUCAGGAAGCGGCAAACCCAUACAUGCAAUACUUUUACCUGAAAUUGACAGAACAUUUUUAUCAAUUUCCAGUAACGCGGCAUUGAAAACAUCAGCAUUGUAAUCAAGUUCAGGGAUGGACAUAUCUCGUCGCAUUCGGUGCAAAAUAUCUUCAGACAUACACUCCUUAUGAGCAUGCCACAGCGUAAGUGUAUCAGACAUGUGGCAGAAGAUGAGCAUUGUAGAGAACAAUGCUCUCACCGAUGCUGCAUUACGACAUAUAGAUGCCUCUUUGAGAGUUUCAUUCCAGUGAGAGUCGUCUUCUAGUAAGCCUAAAGCUUUGCAGGCCAUUUGGAAGGUAGUGUGGAUAACUCCUUCAACUGUGCGCAAACUCUGGAAAGAACAUGGCCCUCUAAUAUGGAACAAAAGAAGUCUCAAAUAGUAACAUUCAGCAUUAGUUGGGUGAACUGUAUAGACGCGGCCAAGAACAUCACUUUUCCGCACACCAGGAAAUCCUUCUACAGGAGUACCCUGCUUUCUGCCUAAAAAUUUAUUGUUGGUCCAGGUAUAGAAAGAAGGAACUUCACAGUAUAAUAGUGUCCUAGCAAAUGUGUCUUGGUUACAAAGCUUAAAAAAUGCUGUCAGAGUUGUAUCUCUUGGAUUUGAAAUAACAUUUUCUGCAUUUGCAGUAGUGAAAUAGACCCUCUGUCCAUUUUCAAGGUGAGCACCUAAGUGUACAAUAGGAGGUGAUCUUUCAUGGAUGCUGAAACCCAGAAACCUCCAAACAGCUUCUGCGGAACUUAUAUAGCGGCCAGACUGAAAUUGGGUAACCUCAUCAAGGUGAUUCAAAGAGAAAACUGCCUGAUCAGUUCCCUUAUUAAUGUAUUUGCACAUGUAUUUGAUGGCCUUUACGGAGCUGCAGUAUUCCAAAUUUAUAUGGGAAUCAAAAGCACGAAGGAGAACAGAAUUAUAGGGCACAAUCCAGCGAUUGUCAAUUUCAAAAGUAACUCCUCGCAUAUUCACCGAUGAAGUAAGACCACCUUCAGCAGAGCGCCGUCUUCGUUAUCGGGGAUAACUAUCUUCUGUUGUCGAAGUUGUCUCAUAAAAACCUUUAGGAUAUUUUUUGCUACAUUUCCCAUCCUUCAUACAUGGAGAAUUUGUAUUCAGAACCCCACAUGGACCAUGAACCAUUUGUUUCAUGACAAUUGCAUGAAGCUCUGGGUCUAAGUUAAUAUCCGGAAUCUCGGCUUGUAUGACCUCAUCAAUUUGAUUAGGUCUAAUUAUGUUUGUAAGCCAAAGCAGUAAAUGCGCAUGUGGUAGACCACGCUUCUGCCACUCUAUUGUGAACAUAAAACACUUGCAAGGCCCAAAUAGCUCAGCCUUAGUUACUAAAUAGAUAAGCUUUUUCAUUUUAAGGUGAAAAACACGACUAAUCAAAUCAUAUCUAUCUUUAGCAGAGUUAUUUGAAAAUAAAUGCAUCUGAAUUUCUUUCCAUUGAGGGUUGCAUGUAAAUGUUAUAAAAAGCUGAGGCCUUCCAUAGCUACGAACAUAAGUCAUUGCAUCUUGGGUAAGCUCAUGCAGAUAACGGGGACCACCAGUAAAUGAUGAUGGCAGUAUGACUAUUUGGCCUAUAUUGGCUAAAUUCUCAUCUGCUCGCAGAGCAUCUUGCAGGUGAAUAUAAUUUUCUGUCCGAAGCUUUUUCUGAUUGCGCCGUAUGAAGGAAAGCCUUUCUGAUUCAACCUUAGCAUACAUAUCAACCCAGAAUUGAUUUGUAAGCAUGCCAUAACGCAGUAGUGAGUUAAAUUCCCCAGCACGAGUCAUCAUUCUGUAAGCAUAAAAAUUCAUGCACGAUACAGUCUUCUGCAUUAUUUCUCUAGUGGAUGGAUUGACUUGAGGUAGCGAAACAGAAUAACCGACCUCACCCCUGCAAAAAAUUAACGGGUAUUGUAGAGGGUCAUAUGCUUGAUGGAUCUCGGAUAUUCUUUGUGUCAAAUUAUUACGACAAUGUAAUUCAAUAUCUCUCGGCCCAAAUUCCUGACCAACCAUCAGCAGAGCUAUUUCAUUGGUCAUGGGCGCAUUGUAGCGACGCUCAUGCUCUUCUGGUGGAAGCUUAUCAGAGUGUAUAAUAACCCGGUAGUCAGCGUGAUUUUGAGGAAGAGUUUCUAAGGCUGCUUUAAAGGAUUGAAUAUAAUGAUUGUGCGCAUGCAAUAAAUCUUGCAAAGAGCGAACUAAAUCUCUGUUCAAGUUUGCUGUCAUGUUGCAACGUGCAGUAACCUGAGACUCAUAAUUAUCGAUAAAGUAUAUCAGCAGGAAUUUGUGCUCACUAUCAGGUUCUGGAAGGAGACUACCAAUUACGUGGUAAACUUGGCCUUGGACUUUGAAAGUAGGCAUAUAACCUUGCUCCACAACUUGUCUAGCACCAAAAGAUGUCAUUUGGAAUAUAGAGUUAUAUCUACGGAUAUGCAGCAAGAAGGACUUCGAUAGAGGAUGUAGGCCAGAGAGCAAAGAGAAAAUAGGUUCUGGAGGGGACUCAAUAGCAGGUAGAGAAACUCUACCUUGUUUACAACAGAGGCCAAAGGGUUCAUCUCUAAAUCUCAAAGCAGAGCAAAACUGGCAUACCCGAGACAUUUGGCCUAUAUCGACAGAUGAAUCAGCUUUAUAAUCAAUAUGGGCAUUAUACUGCAAACCUGAAAAUGGCUUAUGAGUCCAAAGCUGAAUACGCUGAACAGGAACUUGCAUAGUUUGUGUAGCUGCGACGCGGGCUUCAGAAUACCUAAGACGGCGAAGCGCACGACGCGUCUCACUUUGAAGUGGUGUCUGAAUAGCUCUAGCAUUCCGUAAUCUCCUGGAAGCAGCCGUAUUCCUACCAAUUAAAGGUCGGCUGCGGCGAGGCAUAUUCUGAAAAAAAAAAGAUUGAGAUUAAUAACAAAAGCUUAAAAACCAGCAAUUUAUAAACAAAGCACAAAAAUUUCCUGUCUUUUUGAGGUAAAAAUCAAAAUUCUUAAUUUUUUUCUUCAAAAUAACCUCCAGAUAUGUUAAAAAGAUUUUAAAAAACUAAAAGCAUAAUAUUAAUACUAAAGAAUUAAUGUACAAAACCAGCUAUCAUUAAAAAGCCUCAAAAAUAGACCAACCGCUGGACACGGCAAUGAAAACGCAUGCUUUUUUGAGGUAAAAAAUAGAAAUAAUUUUCUAAAAUACAAAAUACAACCCCUAUAUGUUAAAAAAACUAUAAAUAAUCUAAAUAUAAAAUACUUAAUCAAAUAAAUUGAAUUUUGCAAAAGGACCUCAAAAAAAAACAAAUAAAUGAAUCCGUUAAAGAAAUCCCUUGCUUAUUUUAAAAUAUAAAUAUCCUAUUUUUUAGAUACAACCCAUAUAUGUAGAAAAUAUAAUAAAUAAACUGUAUUUAAAAUAAAAAAGCAAUAAUUAAAAAAUUUCAUAAGAAAAUUUUAAAAAGGACUUCAAAAUGACCCAUAAUUGAACAUACCAAUAAAAUAUCUUGCAUCUUAGUGAAAAAAAAAGAAGAAAUAAUCCAAAAUUUGUUUACAAAACAACCCAUAUAUGCUGAAAACACCAUAAAUAAUCUACUUCUAAAAUAUCUAAGCAAUUAAUUAAAAUGCAAUUUCAAGCUUUUUAGUGAAAAAAAAAAGAAAAAUAACCCAAUUUUUUUUACAAAACAACCCAUAUAAGUGGAAAACACCAUAAAUAAUCUGUAACUAAAAUAUCUAAACAAUUAAUUAAUGUUAAGGUCCUCAAAAAAAGACAUAAAAUUGAGCACAUGAAUGAAAUUUCUAGCUUUUUAGUGAAAAAAAGAGGUCCUCAAAAAAGACAUAAAAUCGAGCACAUGAAUGAAAUUUCUAGCUUUUUAGUGAAAAAAAUAGAAAUAACCCUAAAUUCGUAAAAAAUAAUAUAAAUUACCUUAGUCUUAUAAAAAUACUAACCACGUAAUAAAAUAAAAAAUAAACUUGAUCUCAUCAAGUAAGGCUUCAACUUUUUUCGGUAUAAAAUAUGAAAACUAUAAAAUAAAAGUAUCUUACCAUGUAUAAAAGUUAUUAUUAAAAUUAAAAAAUAUAUAUAUAAAAAAGAUUAGAACUAAUUUAGCAAGAAGCGGAAAGUAAACACUUUUGAAAGUGUAAAUACUUUUACUCUGUUGAAUUUUUUUUUUAUUUUAUCGAUAACAGCAAAGUUAUGUAUUUUAAAGUUAGGAAAAAUAUUUUGAUGUUAAGCAAAACCUGCUCCAUCUCGUUUUAAAUAAAUGUUGAAAAUUUGGUCGAAAUUGAUGCAUUGUAACGAAAGUUUUUAGCGAACACCACUUAUGAAAUUUGCAUUUUAUUAAUAUAGAUUUACAGAAGGGAUUAUAUUAAUAAAAAAUAAAUUGUUUUAACACAUUUGAUGAAUUUAUAAAAGAAUAGAUGCCUUUUGCUCAUAUAUAUUCAAAAAUUGAGAUUUAUAUGCAAAAAGGAAACAUCAACCGUUUAAAAUACCCAAUAUUGGACUUUCUUGAUAUUAUUUAAGCCUCCCACACAUAUUCGGUAAAAUGAAUAUGCCACAAUACCAGCUUUUUACAGAAAUCAUAAUAUGUUAGAUUUGCACAUAGAAAAUAGAGAACAAGGAUUGUUUUUAAUGAAUAUCAAAAGGUAGAUAUACCCCAUCCAGAAAAUGAUAAUUUUUUGUCUUGAAAAAAUUACCAUAUAUGAUGAUUUACCUACUUUACUCAUUAUUGUUGACUCUAUUUAUUUCAUUGAAGUUAAAUGCAUUUUUGUUUCAGUAAUUCAGCAAAAAAUAAUUGUGAUAGAGUCGCCUUUUUUCUUUUUUAAAUAUACAAGGUGCGUUCAUUAAUUUCCAGGACUGCUCUGUAUCUUUGAAAAAAUAAAACAAAUAAAAAAACUAAUUCAAUAUUUUUCAAAAUAUGCCCCUCCUGCCUCAAUACACCCGUUCCAUCUUUUUUUCCAAUUGUCGAAGCAGGAGAUAAAAUCACUUUUUGAGAGGUUCCUCAAGGUUGCCUUCGAUUCAGCUUGUAUCAUAUCAACGUUGUCAAAUUUCCGUCCUUUCAAGUUAAUUUUCAAUUUAGGAUAGAGGAAAAAGUCAUUGGGGGCUAAGUCGGGGGAAUAGGGUGGAUGAGGGAUCUGUAUGGUUGAAUGCUUGGCCAAAAACUGCAAAACAACAUGGGCUGUGUGCGGCCGCGCAUUACCGACGUGAAGUAUCUAGUCAUUGUUUUGCCAUCUUUCAGGUCUUUUAAGGCGCACUGCCUCCCUUAAGCACCUCAUUAUCCCCAAAUAAACAGAUAGUCCAGUCACUGAAGAUAAUUCUUCUGUUAGAUUUAAUUAACUCCUUUAUUUUGAGCUUGUUUUCCUCGCAACGAAAUGAUCUUGGACGCCCAGUAUGCUGAUCAUCGUUUACCUUUUCCCGACCUUUUUGGAAGCGUGAAAAUUAUUCAAAAGUUCUUGAACGGGAUAAAGCUGCAUCGCCAAAAGCUUCUUUAAUCGAUUCAUACGUCUCAGUAUCACUUUUUUUUUUCAAUUUAAAACAAAACUUAAUGCAGAUUCUCUGCUCUUCGAAAUGGCCAUUUUAAAAUUAGAAAUGCGAACCUUACAAGGAAGUUGUUUUGUUCUAUUUUUAGAUCGGCGCGUGCGCCACGAGACUCGUGCUUUCAGUCAGGUGUGGUCGAAUGUCCAAUAUUCAACUCUGUAAAAAAUAUUUUCUCUAGCUUUUUUAUUUAUUUUAUUUUUUAACCAGUCCUGGAAAUUAAUGAACGCACCUUGUAUAUUCAUGACUUCCCCUCACUAUCUUUACUAUGUGUUAUGUGUAUAAUAGAUGCUAAGUUAUCUCUACUUGAUAAAUGUAGUAUGAAUAUCAUUUUAUUAUAGAUAUUAACAGUCUAAUACUGAGCCCAAUUUUAUAACUUUACUUAUUUAUCCUGUCUGUGGAUUUUGAGAACAUUUUCAUUUUUUCUUUUUUUUAUUGACAAAAUCAAUUAAUAUAAGCCUAUCAUUCAUUACCAUAUAUCACAAAAUCA